Long non-coding RNA from Salvelinus fontinalis (brook trout), 2802 nucleotides. RefSeq lists it as uncharacterized. The transcript has 2 exons. NCBI's taxonomy places the organism in Eukaryota, Metazoa, Chordata, Actinopteri, Salmoniformes, Salmonidae. The record is from RefSeq and is a predicted model, not a curated record.
UCAGUAGUCAGUUGAUAUUUGACCCAGGUCUGGUCAGUAGUCAGUCAGUUGAUAUUUGACACAGGUCUGGUCAGUAGUCAGUUGAUAUUUGACCCAGGUCUGGUCAGUAGUCAGUUGAUAUUUGACCCAGGUCUGGUCAGUAGUCAGUUGAUAUUUGACCCAGGUCUGGUCAGUAGUCAGUUGAUAUUUGACCCAGGUCUGGUCAGUUGAUAUUUGGCCCAGGUCUGGUCAGUAGUCAGUCAGUUGAUAUUUGACCCAGGUCUGGUCAGUCGUUCGGUCAGUAGUAAUGUAACAGUGAAGCCAGAUCUAACAGUAAAAGCCUUGGACAGGAGGAAUGUGUUGUUUGGAAAAAGGACUUCCCAGAUUGUCUGUGAUUUUGUUUUUGUCUUGGAGCAGAGUGGAGAGGGAGAAAGUGUGCGCAUGCAUUUGGUCAUUUCUCCUCUUCGUUUUGUUCUACUUCCUGUAUCACACGGGAACAGCAAAUCAGUUCAUGCGUUGCAGUAACGAUGACGACCAGUGAAUAUUCUAGAAUCUUCCUGUGUGUUUGUGCCGGUGAUGAUGAGAGAGAGAGAGAGAUGCAGCCCUACGUGAAUACAUGUUAGUGUGAGACUGAGCGUUGUGUCACAACCACUUCCACUGUGGUCCUGUGGAUUACACACACCAAGGUAUUAAUGCUUAGACUGACGGGUGGCUUCAUGGGGAAUCCAUUACCUAUGAAGCUAUGACAAAGUGUGUGUCUCACACACACACACACACACACACACACACACACACACACACACACACACACUUUGACACCACAACCCUUUUGACACACAUCCCUCAGCAAAUUCAGGUCCUCUUAGUUUUUGUGUUUUGUGAGUUUUUCAUUGCUGAAAAAAUGCACCUGUUAAACUGUUGUAGUGUUUCCACAUCACUGAUAUACACCCAGCCCAGAGAAUGUACCGGAAAGACUUAACGUAGGUACCCUGUUUGACUGUGUCCCAAAAUACACCCUAUUCCCUAUAUAGUGCACUUGUCCAGAGCUGGUCUAAAGUAGUGCAAUAUAUAGGGAAUAGGGUGGGACGUAGCCAUUCUGCUGUAGAAGAGAAACAGGCUGUGUAAUGAAGUGGUUGUAAGUCGCUCUGGAUAAGAGCGUCUGCUAAAUGACUUAAAUGUAAAUGUAAAUGUAUAGUGGGGCGGCAGCGUAGCCUAGUGGUUAGAGCGUUGGACUAGUAACCGAAAGGUUGCAAGUUCAAAUCCCACGAGAUGACAAGGUACAAAUCUGUCGUUCUGCCCCUGAACAAGGCAGUUAACCCACUGUUCCCCUGAACAAGGCAGUUAACCCACUGUUCCCCUGAACAAGGCAGUUAACCCUCUGUUCCCCGGUAGGCUGUCAUUGAAAAUAAGAAUUUGUUCUUAACUGACUUGCCUAGUUAAAUAAAGGUUACAUUUAAAAAGGUAUGAGAAUCAAGUUCUGAAAUUCUAUGUUCUGAUUCUAUGCUUCCGUUGUUCUGAGCAGUUCUGUUUGGAAUGUUCUGAAUGUUGGACCUGAACGGUGGUUCUUUACCUGCAUCGCGGACAUGCUGGAUUUGUUUUGAAAACAGACACCAGAAACGGGUCAGGUGACUACAGGAAAUGGGACGUUAUGUAUUAUUCAUGUGAAUACUAUUGAAGACUGAAGCCCAACUGUUAUUUCACCAGAAACCCUGCUAGUUUACUGGUUAAAAACCAGCUUAGAAACCUUACUUACCAGGUAACCCCAACUAGCUUUAAUAUACACUUACCAGGUAACCCCAACUAGGUUUAAUGUACACUUACCAGGUAACCCCAACUAGUUUUAAUGUACACUUACCAGGUAACCCCAACUAGUUUUAAUGUACACUUACCAGGUAACCCCAACUAGUUUUAAUGUACACUUACCAGGUAACCCCAACUAGGUUUAAUGUACACUUACCAGGUAAUCCCAACUAGUUUUAAUGUACACUUACCAGGUAACCCCAACUAGUUUUGAUGUACACUUACCAGGUAACCCCAACUAGUUUUAAUGUACACUUACCAGGUAACCCCAACUAGUUUUAAUGUACACUUACCAGGUAAUUUCAACUAGUUGAAUGUACACUUACCAGGUAACCCCAACUAGUUUACUGUACACUUACCAGGUAGUCCCAACUAGUUUACUGUACACUUACCAGGUAGUCCCAACUAGUUUACUGUACACUUAUCAGGUAACCCCAACUAGUUUACUGUACACUUACCAGGUAACCCCAACUAGUUUUGAUGUACACUUACCAGGUAACCCCAACUAGUUUUAAUGUACACUUACCAGGUAACCCCAACUAGUUUUAAUGUACACUUACCAGGUAACCCCAACUAGUUUACUGUACACUUACCAGGUAGUCCCAACUAGUUUACUGUACACUUACCAGGUAGUCCCAACUAGUUUACUGUACACUUAUCAGGUAACCCCAACUAGUUUACUGUACACUUACCAGGUAACCCCAACUAGUUUACUGUACACUUACCAGGUAACCCCAACUAGUUUACUGUACACUUACCAGGUAACCCCAACUAGUUUACUGUACACUUAUCAGGUAACCCCAACUAGUUUACUGUACACUUACCAGGUAACCCCAACUAGUUUACUGUACACUUACCAGGUGACGUCCAGCAGUGUAAAUGGCGUGCAUCUCCUCUUCCUGUCACCAGCUGUGUUCUCCCUCUCGCCCAAAGCAACAUGGAAACAUAGUGUUUCCUGUAUUCUAAACCCUCCUCCCUUUCUCCCUCGGUCAAUAUGAAAAUAAAACCCGAUUUACAAAUGUA